This 76-nucleotide transfer RNA is filed under the name Micromonospora halophytica. RNAcentral's name for it is "tRNA_Lys_CTT". It matches the Rfam family "tRNA". From Rfam's summary of the family: Transfer RNA (tRNA) molecules are approximately 80 nucleotides in length. Their secondary structure includes four short double-helical elements and three loops (D, anti-codon, and T loops). RNAcentral also lists the same sequence under 1 other name. The record is from RNAcentral. Lineage: Bacteria; Bacillati; Actinomycetota; Actinomycetes; Micromonosporales; Micromonosporaceae.
GCGCCGCUAGCUCAACUGGCAGAGCAGCGGACUCUUAAUCCGCGGGUUCGGGGUUCGAGUCCCUGGCGGCGCACCU